This 967-nucleotide ribosomal RNA is filed under the name Microbacterium sp. RNAcentral describes it as "bacterial SSU rRNA". It matches the Rfam family "Bacterial small subunit ribosomal RNA", at positions 479 to 1444 of the family's 1533-position model. Lineage: Bacteria; Bacillati; Actinomycetota; Actinomycetes; Micrococcales; Microbacteriaceae. The record is from RNAcentral.
CUGCAGAAAAAGCGCCGGGCUAACUACGUGCCAGCAGCCGCGGUAAUACGUAGGGCGCAAGCGUUAUCUGGAAUUAUUGGGCGUAAAGAGCUCGUAGGCGGUCUGUCGCGUCUGCUGUGAAAACCCGAGGCUCAACCUCGGGCCUGCAGUGGGUACGGGCAGACUAGAGUGCGGUAGGGGAGAUUGGAAUUCCUGGUGUAGCGGUGGAAUGCGCAGAUAUCAGGAGGAACACCGAUGGCGAAGGCAGAUCUCUGGGCCGUAACUGACGCUGAGGAGCGAAAGGGUGGGGAGCAAACAGGCUUAGAUACCCUGGUAGUCCACCCCGUAAACGUUGGGAACUAGUUGUGGGGUCCAUUCCACGGAUUCCGUGACGCAGCUAACGCAUUAAGUUCCCCGCCUGGGGAGUACGGCCGCAAGGCUAAAACUCAAAGGAAUUGACGGGGACCCGCACAAGCGGCGGAGCAUGCGGAUUAAUUCGAUGCAACGCGAAGAACCUUACCAAGGCUUGACAUAUAGAGGAAACGUCUGGAAACAGUCGCCCCGCAAGGUCUCUAUACAGGUGGUGCAUGGUUGUCGUCAGCUCGUGUCGUGAGAUGUUGGGUUAAGUCCCGCAACGAGCGCAACCCUCGUUCUAUGUUGCCAGCACGUAAUGGUGGGAACUCAUGGGAUACUGCCGGGGUCAACUCGGAGGAAGGUGGGGAUGACGUCAAAUCAUCAUGCCCCUUAUGUCUUGGGCUUCACGCAUGCUACAAUGGCCGGUACAAAGGGCUGCAAUACCGUGAGGUGGAGCGAAUCCCAAAAAGCCGGUCCCAGUUCGGAUUGAGGUCUGCAACUCGACCUCAUGAAGUCGGAGUCGCUAGUAAUCGCAGAUCAGCAACGCUGCGGUGAAUACGUUCCCGGGUCUUGUACACACCGCCCGUCAAGUCAUGAAAGUCGGUAACACCUGAAGCCGGUGGCCCAACCCUUG